Molecule: ribosomal RNA, 450 nt
Filed under: uncultured bacterium
Lineage: Bacteria
Description: bacterial SSU rRNA
Rfam family: Bacterial small subunit ribosomal RNA
Source: RNAcentral
UAGGGAAUUGUUCGCAAUGGGCGCAAGCCUGACGACGCAACGCCGCGUGGAGGAUGAAGAUCUUCGGGUCGUAAACUCCUUUCGAUUGGGACGAAUUUCCCGGGGGUGAACAAUCCCCGGGGUUGACGGUACCGAGAGAAGAAGCCCCGGCUAACUCCGUGCCAGCAGCCGCGGUAAUACGGGGGGGGCAAGCGUUGUUCGGAAUUACUGGGCGUAAAGGGCUCGUAGGUGGCCAACUAAGUCAGACGUGAAAUCCCUCGGCUUAACCGGGGAACUGCGUCUGAUACUGGAUGGCUUGAGUUUGGGAGAGGGAUGCGGAAUUCCAGGUGUAGCGGUGAAAUGCGUAGAUAUCUGGAGGAACACCGGUGGCGAAGGCGGCAUCCUGGACCAACACUGACACUGAGGAGCGAAAGCCAGGGGAGCAAACGGGAUUAGAUACCCCCGUAGUCC